Molecule: non-coding RNA, 2059 nt
Organism: Peromyscus maniculatus bairdii (prairie deer mouse)
Lineage: Eukaryota; Metazoa; Chordata; Mammalia; Rodentia; Cricetidae
Source: RefSeq, a predicted model, not a curated record
AUUAGAUUUGAGGAAAUGGCUGUGGUUUUAUAGGAAGAAGUCCAUAUGCUGAAGUACUCGGGCGGCCGGGUAUCAGGGUGCUUGCUUGCAACUCAGUUACAAAUGAUUCAGAAAAAAAAAAAAAAAAAAAAAAAGGAGUAAACUUACUGGAAGGCUAGCAGUUGGAGAACCAAGGAUGUGCGUAUCCAAAGUUCACCAGGUACUAACUCAGCUCUUCACAGAUGGCACCUUUGUAGUCAAAAGGCUAGGCAAACAGAAUGUGCCCCGUCCACAGACAGCUUACCACAAUCAUAACUUAUCAAAUAGAUUUCCAAGCAUUGUGUUUAGUUGAAGUCAGGAGAGAAGCUUGGCCAGUGGGGACCUUGAAGAAAUCUAAAGAAUGGCUCCUUUUCCCUGGGUCAUUGGUAAUGUGAGAGGAACCCUUCCAAGAUGGACUAUUAUUGGGGCUAGAGGGUGAAAAAAAAUGCAGUUAGCUGGGUGAUGGCGGCACGCACCUUUAAUCCCAGCACUUGGGAGACAGAGGUGAGUGGAUCUAAGACAACCAGGGCUAUACAGAGAAAUCCUCAAAUAAUCAAAAAUAAAAUAAAAAUAGAAAAUAAAGAGACAAAUGCACAGUUUUAAUCAGAAGAAGGCAAGGCAUUUGGGGGCAGGGUGACAAAAAUAAGUUAAAGAAUCGGAGACUACUUGGGGAGCAAAGAUGAGCCCCAUGUAUGUAAAUGUGGUGGAGAAUGUGCUGGGAUGGAAACUUAGGUUGGUGUCUGGGGACAGGUAGCCUUGAAUGCCAGGCGAAUAGUAUUGUGAAGAGGCACAUGGAAGGAUCAACACUCAAUUCCAAGGAAUUUUCUUUGCCAGAAACUCCUGCACAGAUUUCAAAAUCAGCACACAUGAUACCUCUCCAAGGUUUCCCCAGCAUCUACCAGUAGGAUUAUUCGGCUGGGUCUUUUCUGUUUCUGUUCCUGAGCUCAUUCACACUCAUUGCUGAUGUCGCAGGGCAUCCACGAGGACAGUCACAACAGCUGGCUCUGAGCAGGGUUCUGAGAAUUAACUACCACAAUUCCAUUCUCUGAUCCUCUUUGCUUUUCCAUGCCCCCCGCUUGACAACUCAGCUCCCACACUUGCCUCAGGCUCUGCUUUGGACCAACCAUUGGUCACAGGGUUCUUUGCUUCAUGAUAGUUUGCUUUGCUAGUGUCCUGGCUGUAGAGCCACAGGGCUCCAGCACGCUAAAUUUCCUUCGGUUCCUUGAAAAUUCCUUCCCUCUUCCACAGAGGCUUUGUAAUGUGAUACACAUCCCCUCCACCGGUGUCUUUCAAGGGACAGAACAGAAGAUUUCAGUUUGAAUGGAAUUUUUAUCCUUUGGGUAUUCCGUCACAGCAAGACGGGUAACGAGGAGUAAAAGUAACGAGAAAAGGCAGGGUCAGGGAGCAGCUUAUGAAGCAAAAAGCUGUUGAACUAGCCAGAAACCUUGGAGCCUUUGAGAAACAUCACAAACUAAGGACACAGAGGUGGCUUGGAAGGAGCCCAGUAAUGCUCAGGACCCAGUUAGCUGUUUCUAACCAGCAGGACCCAGGCUUCCAGUCUGCAAAGGGGAUAGAGUCAACAACUCCACCUAAGAAGGUAGGAAACAGAUGCAGCUCACAUUUCCACACAAGGUUCCUUUCCCGGUCUCUAGGCUUUUUACAGCCCGACUUUAGUUCUGGGCUGUGUUUCUCUAGCCUUCUUGCCAGGAAUCAAAUGCUGGAACCCAUUUUAUUAGAGUUGGCUCCUGAAGAGGAGGCAUUCGUCCGGCCACUCUCUGAAACACAUCUACAGUCACCAGAGAGGAAAAACGGAAGGUAUCAGCCAUGCAGUAAGUUAGCGUUGAUUGCCUGUAGGGCUUGUCUCCAGGUACUUGCCCUAGAACGGAUGUGACCGUAACCUAGAACUCUGUUGCUAUGAUGGGCUGGACUGUCUAGAAUACCCAUGGACUCUGUGAACCUCCUUUUUUAAAACAAAUGAAUAAGCAAACAACCCCCAAACUCUUUAGGAGCAGCUUCCAAAGAGUUCAAGUUUCGGGUUUCA